Molecule: small RNA, 142 nt
Filed under: Thalassobacillus devorans
Lineage: Bacteria; Bacillati; Bacillota; Bacilli; Caryophanales; Bacillaceae
Description: Ribosomal protein L10 leader
Rfam family: Ribosomal protein L10 leader
About the family: This family is a putative r-protein leader autoregulatory structure found in B. subtilis and other low-GC Gram-positive bacteria. It is located in the 5' untranslated regions of mRNAs encoding ribosomal proteins L10 and L12 (rplJ-rplL). A Rho-independent transcription terminator structure that is probably involved in regulation is included at the 3' end.
Source: RNAcentral
AAAUAAAUACGUUAUACCGUAGACAGCAGGUGCGUUUUCGCGCUUAAUUUCCUGCCGAGGUGUGUGAAUAAACGAAACGGUUGCCCGUUUAUAAUCGUUUCUCACCAUAAAGCCUCCAUGUCUACAUGGGGGCUUUUUUCAU